AUUGAACGCUAGCGGGAUGCCUUACACAUGCAAGUCGAACGGCAGCAUAAGAGAGCUUGCUCUCUUGAUGGCGAGUGGCGAACGGGUGAGUAAUGUAUCGGAACGUGCCCAGUAGCGGGGGAUAACUACGCGAAAGCGUAGCUAAUACCGCAUACGCCCUACGGGGAAAGGAGGGGAGUCUGCAAGGACCUUUCUACUAUUGGAGCGGCCGACUAUCGGAUUAGCUAGUUGGUGAGGUAACGGCUCACCAAGGCGACGAUCCGUAGCUGGUUUGAGAGGACGACCAGCCACACUGGGACUGAGACACGGCCCAG
Molecule: ribosomal RNA, 314 nt
Filed under: uncultured bacterium
Lineage: Bacteria
Description: bacterial SSU rRNA
Rfam family: Bacterial small subunit ribosomal RNA
Source: RNAcentral